UUUUUGAUUCAGCCAGGAUUAAGAGUACGUUGACCAAUGAGACUGACGAAUUUGACAACAAAGCUACAAAACAACUUUCUCCGCUGAGCAUAGCAAAGUGGUAAUUGCGAAUUAUAUCGCGGAUCGCGUCAAGUACGAGGGCAGUCGAUUAGAUUCCUCGAUUAGAGCGCAAGAGACUCCUCUUUUCAAGGCCAAGGACGCUACUUGGAGCUCGCUGCAGCCCUGGUCCUCUAACUCCGACUUCCUCAAGGAACUCCAACUCUUCCUUGCCGCGUGUUGAUUCAGGAUGUCGUGCGAACGGUUGGGACUCUCUUUCGGAUACGGUGGAAAAUUGAGGUUGAUGACAAGAGCUUGGGGAUUAUCUCACAAAUAUUUGGGAGCAAUUAGAUGUUUGCGCGUCUGUUACCAUGUUUACAUGGUUUGCCGUAUCUAGACCGGCGAGACGUGUUUAUAACUGCGCGCGAUACGAACGAGCAAGUUCUCUUCGUUCUCGUUAGACUCGUACUCCAUUGCGCCAUGACUUUCGAAUAACACGAUUUCCUCCUAGCCGAUCUCUUGAAACCGAGGAUUACCAUCACGUCGGACGAUGCGAAGAUAGUUUAAACAAACUUGCUUACAGAAGUUAUAAGCAAAGGAUAAUGCGAAAACUUCCAGGAGAGACUGUAAAAUGUGAGAGAAGAAAGUGUCAACGACAAUGAGAGGAUUGAAGCGAGAAUUACGGGCAAAAUUUAACGAUUCGAGCUCGGGCAUGAAGUAAUUAGAGGACAUCACUCACCCGGUUUCGGCUGAUUCUGAUACGACGGUCUCCUCAUCCAUCCGAACGGGCUCCUGCUCGGGCCUCGCGCGUUCACCGAAUAUAUAUCGCGGGACACGGGCUGCUGGUUCAUAUUGUUAGACACGUAC
Harpegnathos saltator (Jerdon's jumping ant) is the source of this 903-nucleotide long non-coding RNA. RefSeq lists it as uncharacterized. Lineage: Eukaryota; Metazoa; Arthropoda; Insecta; Hymenoptera; Formicidae. The transcript is spliced from 3 exons. The record is from RefSeq and is a predicted model, not a curated record.